GAUGAACGCUGGCGGCGUGCUUAACACAUGCAAGUCGAACGAUGAAGCCCAGCUUGCUGGGUGGAUUAGUGGCGAACGGGUGAGUAACACGUGAGUAACCUGCCCUUAACUCUGGGAUAAGCCUGGGAAACUGGGUCUAAUACCGGAUAGGAGCGUCCACCGCAUGGUGGGUGUUGGAAAGAUUUAUCGGUUUUGGAUGGACUCGCGGCCUAUCAGCUUGUUGGUGAGGUAAUGGCUCACCAAGGCGACGACGGGUAGCCGGCCUGAGAGGGUGACCGGCCAACACGGGAACGAGAAACCGCCCAGACUCCUACGGGAGGCAGCAGUUGGGAAUAUUGCACCAUGGGCGCAAGCCUGAUGCAGCGACGCCGCGUGAGGGAUGACGGCCUUCGGGUUGUAAACCUCUUUCAGUAGGGAAGAAGCGAAAGUGACGGUACCUGCAGAAGAAGCACCGGCUAACUACGUG
RNAcentral lists this ribosomal RNA (466 nucleotides) under uncultured bacterium. RNAcentral describes it as "partial 16S ribosomal RNA". It matches the Rfam family "Bacterial small subunit ribosomal RNA", at positions 28 to 507 of the family's 1533-position model. The record is from RNAcentral.